ACCAGACUCCUACGGGAGGCAGCAGUGGGGAAUAUUGCACAAUGGGGGAAACCCUGAUGCAGCGACGCCGCGUGAGCGAUGAAGUAUUUCGGUAUGUAAAGCUCUAUCAGCAGGGAAGAAGAUGACGGUACCUGACUAAGAAGCCCCGGCUAACUACGUGCCAGCAGCCGCGGUAAUACGUAGGGGGCAAGCGUUAUCCGGAUUUACUGGGUGUAAAGGGGGCGCAGACGGCGAUGCAAGCCAGGAGUGAAAGCCCGGGGCCCAACCCCGGGACUGCAUUGGGAACUACCGGGCUGGAGUGCCGGAGAGGUAGGCGGAAUUCCUAGUGUAGCGGUGAAAUGCGUAGAUAUUAGGAGGAACACCAGUGGCGAAGGCGGCCUACUGGACGGUGACUGACGCUGAGGCUCGAAAGCGUGGGGAGCAAACAGGAUUAGAUACCCUAGUA
This 445-nucleotide ribosomal RNA is filed under the name uncultured bacterium. RNAcentral describes it as "bacterial SSU rRNA". It matches the Rfam family "Bacterial small subunit ribosomal RNA", at positions 330 to 792 of the family's 1533-position model. The record is from RNAcentral.